GAAUUGUUUUUGUUGCGAGCGGUUGAAACGACGGGCGCUGCGCUUCGUAAAUUUUGUGUACGUUAAUUUCUGUAAACGCCGUUCGUUGUGUAUGUGUGUGUAGUAGUUACUUGUAUGCUGGCGAGUUGUGUUUUUUUGCGCUUACGUACAGUUAAUAUUCAUAUUUGUUGUAAGCGCACACACAGCACUGCAAGGCACAAUUUAAAUUUGUGCUGCAAAAUGUGCGCAAAACGUGUGCGAUAAAAGUGUGCGAUUAAAAAAAGAAACAACAACAAAACGCAAAAAUAAAAGUAAAGCAACACAUAAAAAAUAAAAGCAAAAAAAGUGCAGGGCCAGCGCCAGCAACAAAAAAACUGCGCGUGCCUGUCUCUGGCUCUGUAUUAGUGUAUUUGUCACUGUGUGAGUGAGUGAACGUGUACGUGUAAGUGUGCGUGUGCGUGUGC
Molecule: long non-coding RNA, 443 nt
Organism: Drosophila sulfurigaster albostrigata
Lineage: Eukaryota; Metazoa; Arthropoda; Insecta; Diptera; Drosophilidae
Exons: 2
Source: RefSeq, a predicted model, not a curated record